Manis pentadactyla (Chinese pangolin) is the source of this 3682-nucleotide long non-coding RNA. RefSeq lists it as uncharacterized. The transcript has 3 exons. NCBI's taxonomy places the organism in Eukaryota, Metazoa, Chordata, Mammalia, Pholidota, Manidae. The record is from RefSeq and is a predicted model, not a curated record.
UGAUUCAGUGUUUACUUCAUGAAUGAGGUCAGUUCCCAGCACAGCUGGGGUUUUAGCAAAGGAAUCAGAGCUGCUGGUCAGCAGACAGCAUUCCCACUAGAAUCUGACCGGAGUUGUCGGCGUUGCCAGGACGACGUUCUCAUAGUUUACCCAGGCUCGCCACUCUCUCUGGCACUUUCUGGGGCCUGGCUCUCCUCACCGCCCUGCCAACGCUCCCCUGUGGGAGCACAGGAGCCGCAGCUGGCACACGGCGGGCCUGCGACCGGGUUCCCACGGCACACUGCUUUGCUCUCCACCCUGCACCCUUGCUAUGGCGACAUCUCACCCCUUAGGAGCUUCAGGACUGCCAGGAAACAGGGAGGGAAGACUUAACCCAGAGCGAUGCAGCUUGGUAUCUGAUCACUGAGAUGAACCGGCUGUGUGGGCCGGUGGCAGCUAGGACAGGAAGAGAGCUCUUCCAGAUGACCUUAUAAGGCGAGAAUUAACAGUCCGGGGCACCUAACAGGGUUUGGGAGCCACCGAUGAGAGAGCAUGGCCGGGGGUCAGUGAAAGAAGCCUGGAAACAAGAGAGCUGGAUGUCCCUGGGCUCAGCCGCGCCGAGCAGCCCCGCACCCACCAUGACACAGAGGGUGCUGAGGCCAACUUGGUGCAAGCAAGCUGCACGAUCCCAAGCAUGCAGAGACUAGUGGAAGGCUGCUGUGCGAGGGUCCCUGUGAAAAGGCAGUGUCACAGGCCCACACAGAUCCGAGGUGAAGGAGGGGAGGGGAUGAGCGGCCCCAGGUCUGCAGGGCACGCCGGGUCUGAGGAUACAGCCACGGAGCAGCGAGUCAGAAAACACAGGGCAAAGGCAGCAAGUGUUUCACAAGGCGAAAUAUAUUCCAUUCAAAGGCCAUCCAUUGGUCAUUCAUUCUGAGAUGAAGUAAUCCCGUGGGAAGAGCUUUCUUUUUAGAAAAUGAUCAGAGUAGUAUGUGCCACUGGCCUUAAAGUUCUCAUUUGGCAAAAUGAGAAGUUGGAAACAUCAAGUAAGUGCUUCCAAUUAAACAGGAGAAAAAAAUGGCUGGCUUAGGAAGCCAUGAACUUGAGGGUUAUCCAGGGCUUGAGUUGGCACCUCCGCACCGCCCGGUUUGCCAACGGCCCUGGUGGGAGGCGUCCUGCGGUGGCGGGCAGAGGCGCGUGGCCCGGCCUCGGGGGUCCUGGCCCACCCUGGCCUCCUUGAAACGACCAACAGCCGCAGGAAGAAAAAGGUCUUGCUGCAGUGUCGUGGCUACAGCGGCACCCUGGGUGACCAGCGCCUGUUUGGAUGGACUCUUUUCAGAGAAAGGCUCCAUUUUGUCAGAGCUGCUUUCUGAGGAUCUCUUCACCACUAAAGACCCCAAAGGGAUUGCUGCUGGACCUGGAAAAGGGGGGACGUACUUUUGAGUCAUAAAACGGAAUGGAAACUAGUGUGUAGUCUGUUUUGCUCGAUACGAAAAUUGGUUGUUUUAUCAAAAAAGCCUGUGUGAGGCCAGCUAUGUCUUCUCUCAUAAAAUCAUCCCGCCGCCCAGUAGGAAACGGCGAUGCCUAUAAGCCGCUUGCCAAGCGGUGCGGUCGUGAGAAUCUGGAAGGCGCUCCGUCCGCCUUCCUGUGCCUUUGAAAUUUGGAAGCAGGGCCAGGACGGUGAUGAAGGAGUGUGGCGCCCCCUGGUGAGAGCUGUUGGGCACACCCAGGUGACCUCCACCUGCAGUGGCCGUAGCUCAGGGUUUCCAGUGGCCUAAACAUCGUCCUCCUUUGUGCAAAACCCAGGAUUAGUAGCUUUGCACAGGGCCCUUCAGUGCGGAGCUGACAUGCUUCAAUCUCACAAGACCUAAUGUAGAUUUUGGCCGAGUGGGGAAGAGAUGUUUGUCUCAGCAGGGGAUGCACAGAUUAGGGAAGGGCUGACAUCACAGAGAGCCAGUCAGCCGAGCAGGCCCCAGGGAAGGAGGCCAUACGCUAUCUUGGGCAGCCAUCGCUGCUGCCGCAGCAGGUUGGAGGGUGCGGUUCCUCCAGGGUAAGGACUGGGCAGCCAUCAGGAAGUCUUCAAGUUGAACCAAGCAGCCCUGUCCAUCUGGGAUAAAAGUAGUUUGUCAGAUCUGGUUAUAGAAAGUCCCAGGAAACACAAAUGCCACAUGCUUGUAAAAGGACAUGGUCUCAGAACAGCCCAGCACCAGGACUUGCCUUCUGGGUUAAGUGGAAAAGCUUGUGAAAGGCCAAAGAAGAUGAAUUCUGUCCUUCCCAGGUCCUGACUUGAAGCCAAGAGGAAGUUAUAGGGAGUGAGUUCUGGAUGCUGACCUGAUGCUGUAAGAUUCUCUCCAGGCUCGUACUUACAAGCCUGAAGUUUCCAGGUUCCAAACUGUGAUUCCGUCCAAGGCCAGAUGAUUUGAUUCCCAUAAAUUACAUCUGUCUCCGAGUAGUGUUAAUAAGGAGCACUCUGGGCGUGAACCAGGUUCCCCGGGGAUCCAAGAGGAAUUCCUCUCCCCACCAUAUGUGUUAUUCAGGUGGUGGGUUCCUUCCAGGCAUUCCGAAAUUCCAGGGAGGGAUCAACCACACAUUGUUGAAAUUAGACAAGAAGGACUUGAAUGCAUCCCGACCCCUGGAGGAGGCCUGCACGCCCAUCUCCUGCAGAGGGUUUGAAGGUCCCUGAAGCUGGUGCUCAGAUGGCCCAGCAGGGACCCUGAGAAAGAAAUUCAGAAGAUUCCUUCAUAACAUCAUCAAUCCCACAAUCCCACUUGAGAAGGUCUGAAGAUUGCAUCUACUCUCUGGCUUUAAAAUGCCCAAUUUUACAUAGGUUUGCUUGUUUGGGUUUUUUUUUUUUUUGGAAGUACAAGAACAGCAAUGAUCAAACUUGGAAAGCAUCCUUGCAUUUUCAAUGGAGCAGAAUAGUAAAAACUUUGCUAGGUUCAGAGUCUUGCUGGUGGUGUUGGGAGGGAGGCAGCCCCCAGGGAGGGACACAGGAAUGGGGAAAAGAGCUGAGGGUUUUUAUUCCCAGUUCUUCAUCUUCACAGUGCCUACAGCUUUCAGCCCUGUUCCCUUUUUUCUUCUUACUUUUGUGUCAAAUAAUGCUUUUUAUUGAGACAGAAUUCACAUACGGGACCAUUCGCCCUUUUAAAGUAUACAAGGCAGUGGGCUUUAGCAUAUUUGCCGACUAACACAGCCAUCAACACAAUCCAUUUUAGAACAUUGUUAUCACCCCAGAAGGAACCCCAUAUACAUCAGCCAUCAUCCGCCAUCUCCUCAUACCCUCUCAGCCCUGGGCAACCACCAACCUACUUUGUCUGUAGAUUCGCCUAUUCUGGACAUUUCAUGUAGGUGGAGUCAUACAAUAGCUCAUCUUUCAUGUCUGGCUUCUUUCACUUAGAAUAAUGUUUUCAGGGUUCAUCCAUGAUGUAGCAUAUGUCCUUACUUCAUUUCUUUUUAUGUUGGCAUAAUUUCCCAUUGCAGGGAUGUACCACAUUUUAUUUAUCCAUUCACCAUUUUAUGGCCAUUUGGGUUAUUUCCACCUCUUGCUGUUAUGAAUACCGCUGCUACGACCAUUUGUGAAUACGAUUUUGUUUACACACAUGUUUUCGUUUCUCUUGUUUAAUACCAAGAAGUGAAAUUUGUCAGAUUAUAUGGGAAGUCCUUGUGUAACCUUUCCAAGAACUGCCAGACCAUUUUCCACCCUUAU